Molecule: ribosomal RNA, 253 nt
Filed under: uncultured bacterium
Lineage: Bacteria
Description: partial 16S ribosomal RNA
Rfam family: Bacterial small subunit ribosomal RNA
Source: RNAcentral
UACGUAGGGUGCGAGCGUUGUCCGGAAUUAUUGGGCGUAAAGGGCUCGUAGGCGGUUUGUCGCGUCGGGUGUGAAAACCCAGGGCUUAACCCUGGGCUGGCUUUCGAUACGGGCAGACUAGAGGUAUGCAGGGGAGAGCGGAAUUCCUGGUGUAGCGGUGAAAUGCGCAGAUAUCAGGAGGAACACCGGUGGCGAAGGCGGUUCUCUGGGCAUUACCUGACGCUGAGGAGCGAAAGUGUGGGGAGCGAACAGG